Molecule: transfer RNA, 90 nt
Filed under: Actinoplanes campanulatus
Lineage: Bacteria; Bacillati; Actinomycetota; Actinomycetes; Micromonosporales; Micromonosporaceae
Description: tRNA-Gly
Source: RNAcentral
CCGACCAGGUCGGCGAGGCCCUUGUCGAACUCGUGGUUGCCGACCGCGGAGACGGCCAGGCCACCGGCGUUCAGGGCGUCGAUGGUCGGG